RNAcentral lists this small nuclear RNA (19 nucleotides) under Arabidopsis thaliana (thale cress). Its description in RNAcentral is "snRNA_16373". The record is from RNAcentral. Lineage: Eukaryota; Viridiplantae; Streptophyta; Magnoliopsida; Brassicales; Brassicaceae.
CGCGAAAUUCAUCGACUAA